UCUGGCGGCAGUAGCGCGGUGGUCCCACCUGACCCCAUGCCGAACUCAGAAGUGAAACGCCGUAGCGCCGAUGGUAGUGUGGGGUCUCCCCAUGCGAGAGUAGGGAACUGCCA
Molecule: ribosomal RNA, 113 nt
Filed under: Escherichia coli
Lineage: Bacteria; Pseudomonadati; Pseudomonadota; Gammaproteobacteria; Enterobacterales; Enterobacteriaceae
Also listed under: 1 other name
Source: RNAcentral